GGGGGCAGGGGAUAUCCAGGUGGGUGAUUAUGGGUGGAGGGGGGGCAGUUGGAGGUGUACAGGGGAUAUCCAGGUGGGUGAUUAUGGGUGGAGGGGUACAGGGGAUAUCCAGGUGGGUGAUUAUGGGUGGAGGGGUACAGGGGUUAUCCAGGUGGGUGAUUAUGGGUGAAGCUGGGCAGGUGGAGGGGUACAGGGGAUAUCCAGGUGGGUGAUUAUGGGUGGAGGGGUACAGGGGAUAUCCAGGUGGGUGAUUAUGGGUGGAGGGGUACAGGGGAUAUCCAGGUGGGUGAUUAUGGGUGGAGGGGUACAGGGGAUAUCCAGGUGGGUGAUUAUGGGUGAAGCUGGGCAGGUGGAGGGGUACAGGGGAUAUCCAGGUGGGUGAUUAUGGGUGGAGGGGUACAGGGGAUAUCCAGGUGGGUGAUUAUGGGUGGAGGGGGGCACUUCUCAGUCUGAAGUGUCUGAGUGUACACUGCUCUGUGCCUUGGUGGGAGGGUGGGGGUCCGGGCCGUCCUGCCUUCCACUGUUAACCUGUAAAAGACACAAUGGGGGAGGGAGUGAGAGAGGAGACCAAGACUUC
Molecule: long non-coding RNA, 577 nt
Organism: Esox lucius (northern pike)
Lineage: Eukaryota; Metazoa; Chordata; Actinopteri; Esociformes; Esocidae
Source: Ensembl